RNAcentral lists this unclassified non-coding RNA (259 nucleotides) under Hevea brasiliensis (rubber tree). Lineage: Eukaryota; Viridiplantae; Streptophyta; Magnoliopsida; Malpighiales; Euphorbiaceae. The record is from RNAcentral.
GUAAGAAAAGAGCCUCUUGAGGACACGUGGGAAAAUUCAUUAGACCAACACCAACCAUUAACAGACCAUAGCAACCAAGGGACACAAUGAGGUAUAGAGGCAACAGCCAGGUAUAGCUCUCUGGAAUAGUUGAUGUCUGCAACAAGCCUAUCCAAACAGCAGUUACUGCAAGCAAUAACGCCAAAAUCUUCACGAUAUGUUUCAUUGGAUCUGAUAUUGAAUAUGAAGCCUGCUCCGAUCAGUUCCAAUCAGGUUUUGC